AUUGCAGGCUGCAACUCGCCUGCAUGAAGCUGGAAUUGCUAGUAAUCGCGGAUCAGCAUGCCGCGGUGAAUACGUUCCCGGGCCUUGUACACACCGCCCGUCACACCAUGAGAGUCGGGAACACCCGAAGUCCGUAGUCUAACCGCAAGGAGGGCGCGGCCGAAGGUGGGUCCGGUAAUUGGGGUGAAGUCGUAACAAGGUAAC
RNAcentral lists this ribosomal RNA (204 nucleotides) under uncultured bacterium. Its description in RNAcentral is "partial 16S ribosomal RNA". It matches the Rfam family "Bacterial small subunit ribosomal RNA", at positions 1297 to 1500 of the family's 1533-position model. The record is from RNAcentral.